This 642-nucleotide ribosomal RNA is filed under the name uncultured Actinomycetes bacterium. RNAcentral's name for it is "bacterial SSU rRNA". It matches the Rfam family "Bacterial small subunit ribosomal RNA", at positions 232 to 885 of the family's 1533-position model. The record is from RNAcentral. Lineage: Bacteria; Bacillati; Actinomycetota; Actinomycetes.
CGCGGCCUAUCAGCUUGUUGGUGGGGUAAUGGCCUACCAAGGCGACGACGGGUAGCCGACCUGAGAGGGUGACCGGCCACACUGGGACUGAGACACGGCCCAGACUCCUACGGGAGGCAGCAGUGGGGAAUAUUGCACAAUGGGCGAAAGCCUGAUGCAGCGACGCCGCGUGAGGGAUGAAGGCCUUCGGGUUGUAAACCUCUUUCAGCAGGGACGAAGCGCAAGUGACGGUACCUGCAGAAGAAGCACCGGCUAACUACGUGCCAGCAGCCGCGGUAAUACGUAGGGUGCGAGCGUUGUCCGGAAUUACUGGGCGUAAAGAGUUCGUAGGCGGUUUGUCGCGUCGUUUGUGAAAACCCGGGGCUCAACUUCGGGCUUGCAGGCGAUACGGGCAGACUUGAGUGUUUCAGGGGAGACUGGAAUUCCUGGUGUAGCGGUGAAAUGCGCAGAUAUCAGGAGGAACACCGGUGGCGAAGGCGGGUCUCUGGGAAACAACUGACGCUGAGGAACGAAAGCGUGGGUAGCAAACAGGAUUAGAUACCCUGGUAGUCCACGCCGUAAACGGUGGGCGCUAGGUGUGGGUUCCUUCCACGGAAUCUGUGCCGUAGCUAACGCAUUAAGCGCCCCGCCUGGGGAGUACGG